GAGCUUCGUCAAUUUAUGAUAGACAACUGAUAACGUAUAGAAAGCCCCCAGCCCCAUAUAAUUAAUUAUGGCAAGUAAUCUCUACUUAAAGUUAUAGAUGAAAACCAAUCGAAGUCGUUUAUAGGGUUAUAAGUCUCAAGUUUUAGUCUUAGUCAAAGCCAUUGGUAAAAGAAAAAAAAAGUCAGAGAUGGAUGAUGUGAAACAGCUUUUAUGAAGAAGACUUACUUAUUUAGGAGUAAUUACAGUUUGGGCAGUUGGACUAGAUUCAAGAAUAGCAUAAAUACUAUGGAGAGCACAAUUUCAAGGGGUGCAAGUUAGCUAUUUUCGAUUGAAAAAGUAAGAGGUAAUGGAGAGUGAGUUAGAGAGUAUGAGACAAUAUUUUAAGAGUGGAAACACUAAAGAUGCUUCUUGGAGGCUGUCUCAGCUUAAAGGGUUGCUCUUGUUUAUCAAGGAAAAUGAAGCAGAAAUUUUUAAGGCUCUAAAGGAAGAUUUAGGGAAGCCUCCUGUUGAGGCUUUUAGAGAUGAGGUGGGAACUUUAAUAAAAUCCAUAAAUUUUGCUUUGAAGGGUUUGAAAAAUUGGAUGUCAAGCGAAAAGGUCAAGCUCCCAAAAAUUGCAGUAUCCUCAUAUGCAGAGUUGGUUCCUCAGCCUCUUGGGCUUGUGCUCAUCAUAUCUACCUGGAAUUUUCCUUUUGGACUGUCAUUGGAACCACUUAUAGGAGCAAUAGCUGCAGGGAACACAAUGGUUUUAAAACCUUCAGAACUGGCUCCUGCUUGUUCUUCUCUUCUAGCAAAUGUUAUGCCCACUUACCUAGACACUCAAGCUAUUAAGGUCAUCCAAGGAGGACCGUCUGUUGGUGAACAACUUCUGCAGCAGAAAUGGGACAAAAUUUUCUUCACAGGUAGUGCCCGUGUGGGCCGGAUAGUUAUGUCUGCUGCUGUUAAGCAUCUAACACCAGUCGUUCUGGAGUUGGGUGGGAAAUGCCCUGCUGUUGUUGAUUCCCUUUCAUCUUCUUGGGACCAACAGGUGGCUGCAAAUCGAAUUGUUGUCUCGAAAUUUGGGAACUGUACUGGUCAAGCAUGCAUAGCAAUUGACUAUAUUCUGGUGGAAAAGAAAUUUGCUUCCACUUUGGUGGAACUAAUGAAGGAUUCCAUCAAAAAUAUGUUUGGGGAUAACCCUAGAGAUUCAAAUACCAUGGGAAGGAUUGUUAACAAACAUCAUUUCUUGAGAUUGAAGAACCUUCUAAGCGAUUUGGCAGUAAAAAAAUCUGUUGUCCAUGGUGGUUCAAUGGAUGAAAACAAUCUGUAAAUGACCACACUGCUCUCUCUUAAACUAAAUGUUAUGGAUUGUUCUUUCUUUCUCUUUUUCCUUUUUUUGGGUUCAUUUGGUCUUAAGCGAAACUCGAACUCGGCACUUCACGACUUCAGUACCACUAGCUAAACUCAUUUUUCUUUCCCCUAUAUAAUUUUCCAAUUAAUACAUCUUUGGUUUGCUUAAUUAAGGGAUAAUUAACAUUCUUUCAGGUUUAUCGAGCCAACAAUCUUGCUAGAUCCUCCCCUCCAGGCAGAAAUAAUGACAGACGAGAUCUUUGGUCCACUGCUUCCUAUAAUUACAGUAAGAUGCAACUAAUCACAAAGAGUUCCAUCUUUAUAUUUAUGUUCUUUAAAGAAUGCAAGUUCCAGGUUACAAUGAUAUCAUCUUUGCGUUUUAACAGUUAGAGAAGGUUGAAGACAGCAUAGACUUUAUAAAUUCAAAGCCUAAAGCUCUUGCCAUUUAUGCCUUCACCAAAAAUGAACCAUUCAGGAGAAGAAUGGUGGCAGAAACAUCAUCUGGAAGCUUGGUAUUCAACGAUGCAGUGAUUCAAGUAUUUCAUCGAAAACUUAUUAACUGUUCCUUUUGUUUUGCGAACUCAUUUACUGAUUUACUCCCAUCAUCCAACUGAUAUGCAUGAUUGAAACUUAACCACAUUUGCUUUGCAGUAUUUAGUUGAUGCCUUGCCAUUUGGAGGGAUUGGUGAAAGUGGGAUUGGCAAGUACCAUGGGAAAUUCUCAUUCGAUACGUUUACACACCACAAGGCAGUUGCAAGAAGAAGCUUCCUGGUUGAUUUCUGGUUCAGAUUUCCUCCAUGGAAUGUUCAUAAGUUGAUGCUUUUUGAAACAGCUUACAAUCUUGAUUAUCUUGGACUUCUACUAGUCAUUCUUGGCUUGAAGAAGCGUCAAAGGAACUCGCAAGGCAUCUAGCUAUUUUCUUGUGUCUCUAUUUAGUAAUCCCUCACUCUUAGACACCUGCUGCUUGUGUAAUAACAAAUGGAAAGGAUAGCUCCAUGGCCAGAUCUUUAAUUUCAGCUGCUACAUAUAAUUUCUGAACUAUAUAUAAAUAAAUUCUUCAAUAGAUAAACCAUGUAUAAUUUCUCAACUUAUCGUAUAGUAUCCUGAAUAAAGAAGGGACAAGGUGCAAUUACAGCAGCUUUUGUUAGAUAUAAGUUUAAUCAGCUUUUGUUAGAUGUUGAUAAUAAUAAAUGGCAUUUAAAGCGAUC
This 2534-nucleotide unclassified non-coding RNA is filed under the name Hevea brasiliensis (rubber tree). The record is from RNAcentral. Lineage: Eukaryota; Viridiplantae; Streptophyta; Magnoliopsida; Malpighiales; Euphorbiaceae.